GACGAACGCUGGCGGCGUGCUUAACACAUGCAAGUCGAACGGAAAGGCCCUGCUUUUGUGUGGUGCUCGAGUGGCGAACGGGUGAGUAACACGUGAGUAACCUGCCCUUGACUUUGGGAUAACUUCAGGAAACUGGGGCUAAUACCGGCUAGGAGCUCCUGCUGCAUGGUGGGGGUUGGAAAGUUUCGGCGGUUGGGGAUGGACUCGCGGCUUAUCAGCUUGUUGGUGGGGUAGUGGCUUACCAAGGCUUUGACGGGUAGCCGGCCUGAGAGGGUGACCGGCCACAGUGGGACUGAGAUACGGCCCAGAGUGCUACGGGAGGCAGCAGUGGGGAAUAUUGCAAGAUGGGCGGAAGCCUGAUGCAGCAACGCCGCGUGCGGGAUGACGGCCUUCGGGUUGUAAACCGCUUUCGCCUGUGACGAAGCGUGAGUGACGGUAAUGGGUAAAGAAGCACCGGCUAACUACGUG
Molecule: ribosomal RNA, 468 nt
Filed under: uncultured bacterium
Lineage: Bacteria
Description: partial 16S ribosomal RNA
Rfam family: Bacterial small subunit ribosomal RNA
Source: RNAcentral